CGCUCCAUAUUCUGGGACCGAGAAUAGGCGCAAGGUGCGCAUUUCGAGCAGAGGAUGGCCACCUGUUAGAAGAAGUACUAAUCUGUGCGUCCAUGAAUGAAUGUACAGUCCAGGGCACAAGGACAAAUAGCAAAAAAUAAAGCCCGAGUGGGACGGAAGAAAAUGACAUGAUGACCUCGUGGCAGCUGGAAUGCUGAGAUACCAGAAAAUGAGAUGGACCGUAACCCCGCCCCAGUCUUUUAUCAACCAAUCAAGCCUUGCUGCAGACCAUUAAGGGCUGUAAGUGCCAAGGCGACAGGCCGAUGAGGGAGAUUAGAACUACAGGAGGCUGACUACAAAAGCCGACAUGGGAAUCGUGCCGACUGGGAGAUGCAACCUGCACGUCAAGUAGCUGACGGAGCGAAACAAGCAGGGGAUGGCCAAGACAUCUCAGCUACAAGCCCACGUCUGUAACACCAAAUCCCACCAUCAGCUCUUCUGGUAACCAACAAUGGACAGUCCAGAACAAUAGAAGGACAUCCUCUCCUCCCACAAGGAAAAUUCGAUAACGGAGAAACCAGUUGGACACUCAGCACUCACAUUGGGCAGAGGCUGGCAAAAUCCUUAACCUAUUGUUGCUCUGACAACAGUAACGUACGAACUCUCCUGCCCAAUCCGCAACAGACAAUAACCCUAAACAAUGCCCAAACACACCCUUCUUCCGGACUACAGCCCGCCUCACAAAACCCUUCAAAAGACUGAAUGUUUAGCUAAUGACUGUCAUUUUUCUAAGGAAUAUUUUGUUGAAGUGUUGACUGCUGACCCUGGAUCCAGCCUUCCUCUUCAUCUGGGUCUGUUUGCUGUUUUUGCCUUGCUGUCUGAUUGCUGUCGACUUGGAAUAAAUUGUCAACUUGUGUUUCAAAGCCUUUUUCCAGCUUUUAAAAUGGAGUCAGUACAAGGGAUUAAAACUAUGGUGAA
This is a long non-coding RNA of Corythoichthys intestinalis (scribbled pipefish), 957 nucleotides long. RefSeq lists it as uncharacterized. The transcript has 3 exons. NCBI's taxonomy places the organism in Eukaryota, Metazoa, Chordata, Actinopteri, Syngnathiformes, Syngnathidae. The record is from RefSeq and is a predicted model, not a curated record.